CGAGCGCUUCAAAGAGAAGAAG
RNAcentral lists this microRNA (22 nucleotides) under Picea abies (Norway spruce). RNAcentral's name for it is "pab-miR11460". The record is from miRBase by way of RNAcentral. Lineage: Eukaryota; Viridiplantae; Streptophyta; Pinopsida; Pinales; Pinaceae.